RNAcentral lists this ribosomal RNA (385 nucleotides) under uncultured bacterium. RNAcentral's name for it is "bacterial SSU rRNA". It matches the Rfam family "Bacterial small subunit ribosomal RNA", at positions 30 to 417 of the family's 1533-position model. The record is from RNAcentral.
AGUGAACGCUGGCGGCAGGCCUAACACAUGCAAGUCGAGCGGCAGCGCGGGGCAACCUGGCGGCGAGCGGCGGACGGGUGAGGAAUGCAUCGGAAUCUACCCUGUCGUGGGGGAUAACGUAGGGAAACUUACGCUAAUACCGCAUACGACCGAGAGGUGAAAGUGGGGGACCUUCGGGCCUCACGCGAUUGGAUGAGCCGAUGCCGGAUUAGCUAGUUGGUGGGGUAAAGGCCCACCAAGGCGACGAUCCGUAGCUGGUCUGAGAGGAUGAUCAGCCACAUUGGGACUGAGACACGGCCCAAACUCCUACGGGAGGCAGCAGUGGGGAAUAUUGGACAAUGGGCGCAAGCCUGAUCCAGCCAUGCCGCGUGUGUGAAGAAGGCCU